ACCUUUACAAACCUUUUUUUUCCCUUUAUAAUUCAAUUAUCUCAUUUUUCUGUAAAUAGUAUUUGAAUUAAAACUUUUUGUCACCACUCAAAUACAAAAAUUUUCAUUCACUCAUUUAUCUUAUCUUAGUUUAUACUAAAUCACUCAAAAAUACAGCCAAGAUUCACAUAAUUAUAUGCAAUUUGUUAAAACAAUCACAGUGGGAAGAUA
This 210-nucleotide unclassified non-coding RNA is filed under the name Hevea brasiliensis (rubber tree). Lineage: Eukaryota; Viridiplantae; Streptophyta; Magnoliopsida; Malpighiales; Euphorbiaceae. The record is from RNAcentral.